CUGCCCAUUGAUCAAGUCUCACGUCAAAGCAUGGAAAUUUAUAGCAAGUGUUUUUGCCCCUUUCUCAGUGAAUUUUUAAUGGUGAAAUUAAGGCAAACAAUCCUUAAGAUAAACGAAGAGUUACAUUUAGAGCCAAAAGGCUUCUGCAAGAGAGAGAGAGAGAGAGAGAGAGACCUUGCUUCGGGCAAGUACUGAAUGUAAAAAAACUAUUUUACGCUUAUAAACUUUCCCCUUUAAUGUUUACUCUUCUACUUUUCCUUUCGGGGAUUCAAUCAAUGUUACAGAACACGUACAAACCGCACUAUGCUAAGGCGUCAGACUCCUUUAUCUCAGAGCAUUAGCAAUGCAACAUGGUAAUGAUAUAGUGAUCGUUAGUCAGCAGGGUGCCCUUCGCUACGUGAAGCACCUUCCAAAUCAAUUUGAAACUGGGCCAGGACAAUAAAUCACGUAACUGCUUGAGCGUGGGCGUCAUCCCGUUGACCCAACAUGGGUUGUGGGUUGUGGAACCAUA
Long non-coding RNA from Syzygium oleosum, 511 nucleotides. RefSeq lists it as uncharacterized. The transcript has 2 exons. The record is from RefSeq and is a predicted model, not a curated record. Lineage: Eukaryota; Viridiplantae; Streptophyta; Magnoliopsida; Myrtales; Myrtaceae.